Molecule: ribosomal RNA, 682 nt
Filed under: Uracentron azureum
Lineage: Eukaryota; Metazoa; Chordata; Lepidosauria; Squamata; Tropiduridae
Description: partial small subunit ribosomal RNA
Rfam family: Bacterial small subunit ribosomal RNA
Source: RNAcentral
GAUCCUAAACUUGCUGCUGUUUUUGAUUAAAAUUAUACAUGUAAGCAUCCACACACCAGUGAAACAAGCCCUAAAAGUAAAAAUGGAGCAGGUAUCAGGCACGAAACUUAGCCCAAAACACCUUGCUACGCCACACCCCCACGGGACAUCAACAGUAACAGACAUUAGGCUAUAAGCGAUACACCAAACAAAAGCUUGACCUAGUUAUAAUCAUUUCAGGGCCGGCUAAUCUCGUGCCAGCCGCCGCGGUUACACGAAAGGCCCAAAUCAGCAUCCAACGGCGUAAAUUAUGACUAGAAUAUUCUGCCCCCAAAAAAGAAGUAAACCCCUACCUAACCGUAAAACACAGGUAAAAUGAAACUUCUUUAAUUUUAGCAAUUUGAACUCAUGAAAGCUAGGAAACAAACUAGGAUUAGAUACCCUACUAUGCCCUGCCAUUAACAAGAUAUUCACCAACAAAAUAUCCGCCAGAAGACUACAAGCGAAAAGCUUAAAACUCAAAAGACUUGGCGGUGUCCCACACCCGACUUAGAGGAGCCUGUCCUAUAAUCGAUAAUCCACGAUAGACCCCACCGCCUUUUGCCAAACCCGCCUAUAUACCGCCGUCGAAAACCUACCUCACAAGAGAACUACCGUAGGUAAAAUAGUUACCACUAGAACGUCAGGUCAAGGUGUAGCUAAU